RNAcentral lists this ribosomal RNA (384 nucleotides) under uncultured Geobacillus sp. RNAcentral describes it as "bacterial SSU rRNA". It matches the Rfam family "Bacterial small subunit ribosomal RNA", at positions 1000 to 1382 of the family's 1533-position model. The record is from RNAcentral. Lineage: Bacteria; Bacillati; Bacillota; Bacilli; Caryophanales; Anoxybacillaceae.
UAUGAAAGUUAGGCUUUCUACUUCGGGUAGACAGGGAGACAGGUGGUGCAUGGUUGUCGUCAGCUCGUGUCGUGAGAUGUUGGUUAAGUCCCGCAACGAGCGCAACCCUCGCCUCUAGUUGCCAGCAUUCGGUUGGGCACUCUAGAGGGGCUGCCGGCGACAAGUCGGAGGAAGGUGGGGGUGACGUCAAAUCAUCAUGCCCCUUAUGACCUGGGCUACACACGUGCUACAAUGGGCGGUACAAAGGGCUGCGAACCCGCGAGGGGGAGCGAAUCCCAAAAAGCCGCUCUCAGUUCGGAUUGCAGGCUGCAACUCGCCUGCAUGAGGCCGGAAUCGCUAGUAAUCGCGGAUCAGCAUGCCGCGGUGAAUACGUUCCCGGACCUU